This 319-nucleotide ribosomal RNA is filed under the name uncultured eukaryote. RNAcentral's name for it is "partial 18S ribosomal RNA". It matches the Rfam family "Eukaryotic small subunit ribosomal RNA", at positions 1470 to 1796 of the family's 1831-position model. The record is from RNAcentral.
CCCUUAGAUGUCCUGGGCCGCACGCGUGCUACACUGACGCCUACAGCGAGUACUUCCCAGCCCCGAGAGGUGGCUGGUAAUCAGCAAUAGGCGUCGUGAUGGGGAUAGAUCUUUGGAAUUAUGGAUCUUGAACGAGGAAUGCCUAGUAAGCGCAGGUCAUUAGCCUGCGCUGAUUAAGUCCCUGCCCUUUGUACACACCGCCCGUCGCUCCCACCGAUUUCGAGUGGUCCGGUGAAUCUUUCGGACUGCGCGCGGCCUCGUGCCGUGUCGCGGAAAGUCAGGUAAACCUUAUCACUUAGAGGAAGGAGAAGUCGUAACA